AGUGAACGCUGGCGGUAGGCCUAACACAUGCAAGUCGAACGGCAGCACAGUAAGAGCUUGCUCUUACGGGUGGCGAGUGGCGGACGGGUGAGGAAUACAUCGGAAUCUACUUUUUCGUGGGGGAUCACGUAGGGAAACUUACGCUAAUACCGCAUACGACCUACGGGUGAAAGCAGGGGAUCUUCGCACCUUGCGCGAUUGAAUGAGCCGAUGGCGGAUUAGCUAGUUGGCGGGGUAAAGGCCCACCAAGGCGACGAUCCGUAGCUGGUCUGAGAGGAUGAUCAGCCACACUGGAACUGAGACACGGUCCAGACUCCUACGGGAGGCAGCAGUGGGGAAUAUUGGACAAUGGGCGCAAGCCUGAUCCAGCCAUACCGCGUGGGUGAAGAAGGCCUUCGGGUUGUAAAGCCCUUUUGUUGGGAAAGAAAAGCAGCAGGUUAAUACCCCGCUGUUCUGACGGUACCCAAAGAAGAAGCACCGGCUAACUUCGUG
RNAcentral lists this ribosomal RNA (492 nucleotides) under uncultured bacterium. RNAcentral's name for it is "partial 16S ribosomal RNA". It matches the Rfam family "Bacterial small subunit ribosomal RNA", at positions 29 to 507 of the family's 1533-position model. The record is from RNAcentral.